Molecule: long non-coding RNA, 1587 nt
Organism: Cyprinus carpio carpio
Lineage: Eukaryota; Metazoa; Chordata; Actinopteri; Cypriniformes; Cyprinidae
Source: Ensembl
CUUCUUUUUAUAGUCUGUACACAUCAGUGAAGUGCUAGUCAAAGAAAACACCACAGGCUUCAGAAUAUAUUUUUUUAUUCAAACUUUAAAUUUCAUCGUCUCUACAGUGUAAAAGGUCAUGAAUUCAAAGCCCUAAAAGGACUCAAAGAGAUGGACUCAUGUCGAUUUGGUAGGAAAUCCAUCUAUAGUAUCCAAAUAAACCAUUCAAUAAUGAUUUUCAAGGUGGGAUGGGAGAAUAAAAUAUAGGAAUCAUAAGUUAAAAAAGCUUUUGAGGUCGAAAGAACAUCUUUUAACAACCCAGAACUCUGUGCAGGCUAUAAAACAGAACAUAAAAUAAAUAUAAACACGAUUAAAAAACAUCCAUUUGGUACACAGUAAACCAGUGUGAGACUACAGCUAAAAUUCAAAGAAUAUCAAUGAUAAAUACAGUACAAUAUGUACUUACAGUAUGCCAUCGUACACCCACAAGCCCCCAGCCACACAUACAUGUACAGCACAAACAUAAGAAAAUAAACAUCGAUAAUCUCUGACAAAAAUGAUAGUCAUGUGCAUUUACACUGUACACACUGUAAUACUGCUGCAGGCGCUGAUCGCUUUCUUUAUCAUUUUUAUGCAUGUUUUUUUUUUCUUUCUGCAUUAUAAAGUGCAGCUAUCCCAGACUUCUGUGAUUAGUGAUCUAGCAAUAAUACACCAUUUAUCACACCAAUAUAUUAUAUGUGUCUAUAUAUAUAUAUAUACCAUUUGAAGGGAAGCCAAAUGGGAAUUUUCUCAUGAGAUAUGAAGAAUCACAUUAUUGCUCUUAAGGUUAAGGAUUGGUCACAUCAGCAGGACAUUGUACUAUACAAGGGGAACCAUAUAUUUAAUCAAGCACCAAAAGCUUAAAACCUUUAAAAGAAUAAUCUGGGUUAUUUUCAUUUCAUUUUAUCCAGGGCUGCAUUUAUUUGAUGAAAAAUACAGUAAAACGGUAAUAAUCGGCAAAAAAAUUACUAUUUAAUACAACUGUUUCCUAUUUCAAUACAUUUGAAACUGUAAUUUAUUUCUGUGAUCAAAGCUGGAUUUUCAGCAUCAUUACUCCAGUCUUCAGUGUCACAUGAUCCUUCAGAAAUCAUUCUAAUAUGCUGAUUUGCUGCUCAAGAAAUAUUUCUUAAUUGUUAUUCUGCAAUCCUUUUUUACAGGAUUCUUUGAUGAAUAGAAAGUAAAAAAAUAAUAAAAGGAAUUUAUGUGAAAUAGUAUUCUUUUGUAACAUUGUAAAUGUCUUUACUGUCACUUUUAAUCAAUUAAAUGCAUCCUUGCGGAAUAAAAGUAAAUCAAAUCUUACUGACCCUGAAAAUGUAGUGUCUACAAGAUGGCGCCGCUGAGUCCGGUCGCCGUCCCAGGUCGCUCCGCUUAGAUUGUGUUUUUAUUUACUUUUUUACCUACUUUUGCUUUCUCUUUUUGCACACAUAACCUCUGCACUGAUCACUUACGACAAAGGAACACUUUUGGACAUUGGAUACCGCUUCACUAACCUGUUCCAGGACACUUUAUCCUCCAACCCAUCGUGGCCAUCUGAGAUUCUCCGGAACACCGAGAUGAACAAUGGCCACC